GCAGUAGCCGCGGUAAUACGGAGGAUCCAAGCGUUAUCCGGAAUCAUUGGGUUUAAAGGGUCCGUAGGCGGUCUUGUAAGUCAGUGGUGAAAGCCCAUCGCUCAACGGUGGAACGGCCAUUGAUACUGCAGGACUUGAAUUAUUGGGAAGUAACUAGAAUAUGUAGUGUAGCGGUGAAAUGCUUAGAGAUUACAUGGAAUACCAAUUGCGAAGGCAGGUUACUACCAAUUGAUUGACGCUGAUGGACGAAAGCGUGGGUAGCGAACAGGAUUAGAUACCCCAGUAGUCCCUGUCUCUUAUAC
This 302-nucleotide ribosomal RNA is filed under the name uncultured bacterium. RNAcentral describes it as "partial 16S ribosomal RNA". It matches the Rfam family "Bacterial small subunit ribosomal RNA", at positions 508 to 807 of the family's 1533-position model. The record is from RNAcentral.